Molecule: long non-coding RNA, 1137 nt
Organism: Morone saxatilis (striped sea-bass)
Lineage: Eukaryota; Metazoa; Chordata; Actinopteri; Moronidae
Exons: 3
Source: RefSeq, a predicted model, not a curated record
UGGUGGGUUUGGGCACCGGGCAUGGAUGGCCUUGGCACUCGAGCGGCCAGAUUGUAGUGGGAGUAGCGGUCUUACAUGAAGCUUUGGAGGGUUUAGGACGGCUUUAGGAGUAUGGAGGGAGAAAUCUGCCCACUUGGUCUGGAGUAGAGGGAACGAGGGGAACAUGCAUUUCUCCGUUGUUGGAAUAGCAUCUGCACUGGAACUUUUUGACAAGAGCAAAAUGUCCACCAUGGCUAUCACCAGUGGACAUGGAUCACUGAGGGGGCCUGUGAUUAACAGAUAGCACCACGUCUCCUCUGCUGGCAGGCCAUCAUUACGACGAGCACUAGAAGAUAGGUUCUGUGGGCGAAAAGACCUUUUGGAAAAUGUCAGCGACAGUCAAAGCCCCAAAUUUCCUCCAUUCACUCUUUCCCAUGUGAUGCUACCUACUCUAAUACCUUAAUCACACAACCCUUUUCUCCUAUUGCCUAAUGUUUUGUAUCUUAAGUGCAGUGUGAGAUUGUGGAGAUUUUAUUUUAUCUGGUGUGGCUUACCUGAAGAUUGGACAUAUUAUUUAAAAAAAAAAGAAAACAACCCCAGCCCCAUAUUUCACCCAGCUCAGCAAACAAAAAACACUCAGCAAUGUCUGCAACAGCUCCCCUUUCCCACUCCCUUUCACUGGAGCCAGCUUCACCGUCUUAAUACUCUUAGUCCCUCGGUUGGCAUGUUUUCCAAGAACCCGCUGCAUUUUCAGAUUUGUAAAAUCCGUCAAAAUGCCUGUAAUGAAUAUUUCUACAGCCUUGACUGUAUUUAAUAUGCUGUUUGACCAGCCCAAUAAGAAACGUGUACUGAUCUGGCACCAGGACCAGUGCGUCAGUAGAAGGUUUAUUGUCCAGAAACUGUCUGGACUGUCUUUUAUCAGGAGAAGCAGAAAGGAAAUAAACAUUCAUUAUUCAGAUAAUCUCUUAGGUUAUAAUUAACAUAUUUUCUGUGCAUGAAUCUACGUAUAUAUUUUGAAUUUAAAAAAAAAAAAAGGUACUACCGUUCGUACAGUCGUCUUCAUGAAUAAACUGUCAUAUUGCGAGAGGUCUUUGUUGUGUACUCAACACUUAAAUUGUACAGUCUGUUUUACUGUUGUUUUAGCUUUGCUGAAAAAAA